GCGAGCGGCGGACGGGUGAGUAAUGUCUGGGAAACUGCCUGAUGGAGGGGGAUAACUACUGGAAACGGUAGCUAAUACCGCAUAACGUCGCAAGACCAAAGAGGGGGACCUUCGGGCCUCUUGCCAUCAGAUGUGCCCAGAUGGGAUUAGCUAGUAGGUGGGGUAACGGCUCACCUAGGCGACGAUCCCUAGCUGGUCUGAGAGGAUGACCAGCCACACUGGAACUGAGACACGGUCCAGACUCCUACGGGAGGCAGCAGUGGGGAAUAUUGCACAAUGGGCGCAAGCCUGAUGCAGCCAUGCCGCGUGUAUGAAGAAGGCCUUCGGGUUGUAAAGUACUUUCAGCGGGGAGGAAGGCGUUGAGGUUAAUAACCUCAGCGAUUGACGUUACCCGCAGAAGAAGCACCGGCUAACUCCGUGCCAGCAGCCGCGGUAAUACGGAGGGUGCAAGCGUUAAUCGGAAUUACUGGGCGUAAAGCGCACGCAGGCGGUCUGUCAAGUCGGAUGUGAAAUCCCCGGGCUCAACCUGGGAACUGCAUUCGAAACUGGCAGGCUAGAGUCUUGUAGAGGGGGGUAGAAUUCCAGGUGUAGCGGUGAAAUGCGUAGAGAUCUGGAGGAAUACCGGUGGCGAAGGCGGCCCCCUGGACAAAGACUGACGCUCAGGUGCGAAAGCGUGGGGAGCAAACAGGAUUAGAUACCCUGGUAGUCCACGCCGUAAACGAUGUCGACUUGGAGGUUGUGCCCUUGAGGCGUGGCUUCCGGAGCUAACGCGUUAAGUCGACCGCCUGGGGAGUACGGCCGCAAGGUUAAAACUCAAAUGAAUUGACGGGGGCCCGCACAAGCGGUGGAGCAUGUGGUUUAAUUCGAUGCAACGCGAAGAACCUUACCUACUCUUGACAUCCAGAGAACUUUCCAGAGAUGGAUUGGUGCCUUCGGGAACUCUGAGACAGGUGCUGCAUGGCUGUUCGUCAGCUCGUGUUGUGAAAUGUUGGGUUAAGUCCCGCAACGAGCGCAACCCUUAUCCUUUGUUGCCAGCGGUUAGGCCGGGAACUCAAAGGAGACU
This 1063-nucleotide ribosomal RNA is filed under the name Enhydrobacter aerosaccus. RNAcentral describes it as "bacterial SSU rRNA". It matches the Rfam family "Bacterial small subunit ribosomal RNA", at positions 91 to 1150 of the family's 1533-position model. Lineage: Bacteria; Pseudomonadati; Pseudomonadota; Alphaproteobacteria; Hyphomicrobiales. The record is from RNAcentral.